This is a long non-coding RNA of Diospyros lotus (date-plum), 1167 nucleotides long. RefSeq lists it as uncharacterized. The transcript has 2 exons. The record is from RefSeq and is a predicted model, not a curated record. Lineage: Eukaryota; Viridiplantae; Streptophyta; Magnoliopsida; Ericales; Ebenaceae.
CCCAAAGGUUCUAAACCUAAACUCAAAUCCUCUUUGGCCAGGCGGCGAUCCUCUUCUUCUUGUCUCAGCCGUCAGCUCUCUUCAAUCUUCACCUCUUCCUCAGCAUUCAACAAAUUUACAUUGUAAGCCAUCUCUUCUCUCUACCUCUUUCAUUUAUCUCGUACAAAUUUGUUUAAAGUGUGUUUGGAUCGCAAGAAAGAAGGAAAGAAAAAGAGAGAGUGAGAGAGAGAAAAAGUUGAGGCGGCAAAAGAAAAUGGCUGGAGGGCGUUUCGCCGGGGAUGGCCCACGCCGGGCGGGAGCUUCACCGGCCGGUUGACUGUCUAUUAAAAUGCACAAACAGAAUCGUUUGCUUGUAAAGAUCUCCAUAGAGAGUGUGAAGUGGUUAGCAUUGCAAAGGUUGUCUAUUUAGAGGUCAUGAUGAGUCUCCUGACUCUACUAAUCAUGGGAAUUAUAUUGAAUUAAUCAAAUUGUACAGAAGAGCAAAUGAAGAAAUUGAUGUUGUUCUAGAAAAUGUAGCUAAAAAUGCCAUGUACAUAUCACCAGAUAUUCAGAAAGAGAUAUUGAAAAUUAUUGUUGAUUGUGUGCGACAUAAAAUUCGUGAAGAAAUUGGAGAUGCUAAAUUUUGCAUUAUUGUUGAUGAAGCAUGCGAUGAAUCAUAUAAAGAACAAAUGGUUAUUAUUUUGAGAUAUGUUGAUACCAAUGGAUUUGUUAGAGAACGAUUUUUUGAAGUUGUUAUUGUCAAAGAUGCAAAUGCAUUGAUUUUGAAAAAAGAGACAUGUACUGUAUUAAGUCAAUACAAUCUCCUAGUUACAAAUUUAUGAGGUCAGGGGUAUGAUGGUGCUAGCAACAUGCGGGGGAAUGGAACGGAUUGCAAACAUUAUUUCUUAGAGAAUGCCCAUCUGCUUAUUCAUUCAUUGUUUUGCUCAUCGACUACAAUUAGUUUUAGUGACAGGAGAAGUUCCAACUAGUUCUAGGGCUAAUCAGGUUUGUACUUUGCAACGAGCUGGGGCUACUUGUUGGAGUUCACAUUUUGCCUCUUAAAAAAUUGAUUGAGAUGUUUGGUUCUAUUUGUACACUUUUUGAAAAUCUUAUUGAUAAGGGGUCGAACAACAGUGUACGUGGGAGGCUAAAGAUGUUUUGAAAGUUAUGAAAACAUUUGAGUUUGUA